RNAcentral lists this ribosomal RNA (253 nucleotides) under uncultured bacterium. RNAcentral's name for it is "partial 16S ribosomal RNA". It matches the Rfam family "Bacterial small subunit ribosomal RNA", at positions 524 to 776 of the family's 1533-position model. The record is from RNAcentral.
UACAGAGGGGGCAAGCGUUGUUCGGAAUUACUGGGCGUAAAGGGCGCGUAGGCGGCCGCCUAAGUCAGACGUGAAAUCCCUCAGCUUAACUGGGGAACUGCGUCCGAUACUGGAUGGCUUGAGUUUGGGAGAGGGAUGCGGAAUUCCAGGUGUAGCGGUGAAAUGCGUAGAUAUCGCUUGGAACGCCGACGGUGAAAACAGCUUGCUGGGGGUGUGCUGACGCUGAGACACGAAAGCCAGGGGAGCAAACGGG